This 77-nucleotide transfer RNA is filed under the name Bacteroidota bacterium. RNAcentral's name for it is "Bacteroidetes bacterium (activated sludge metagenome) tRNA-Asp". It matches the Rfam family "tRNA". Rfam says of the family: Transfer RNA (tRNA) molecules are approximately 80 nucleotides in length. Their secondary structure includes four short double-helical elements and three loops (D, anti-codon, and T loops). Lineage: Bacteria; Pseudomonadati; Bacteroidota. The record is from RNAcentral. RNAcentral also lists the same sequence under 1 other name.
GGAGUCGUAGUUCAGUUGGUUAGAACGCCUGACUGUCACUCAGGAGGUCGCGAGUUCGAGUCUCGUCGAUUCCGCCA